UCUCCGUAGGUGAACCUGCGGAGGGAUCAUUACUGAGUGAGGGCUCACGCCCGACCUCCAACCCUUUGUGAACCAAACUUGUUGCUUCGGGGGCGACCCUGCCGACGACUUUGUCGCCGGGCGCCCCCGGGGGCUCAUCAAACACUGCAUCUUUGCGUCGGAGUUUAAAACAAAUUAAACAAAACUUUCAACAACGGAUCUCUUGGUUCUGGCAUCGAUGAAGAACGCAGC
This 231-nucleotide unclassified non-coding RNA is filed under the name uncultured fungus. RNAcentral describes it as "sequence contains ITS1, 5.8S rRNA gene". The stretch from base 183 to 231 matches the Rfam family "5.8S ribosomal RNA", at positions 1 to 49 of the family's 154-position model. Lineage: Eukaryota; Fungi. The record is from RNAcentral.